Molecule: ribosomal RNA, 544 nt
Filed under: uncultured Myrtapenidiella
Lineage: Eukaryota; Fungi; Ascomycota; Dothideomycetes; Mycosphaerellales; Teratosphaeriaceae
Description: eukaryotic LSU rRNA
Rfam family: 5.8S ribosomal RNA (bases 181-334)
Source: RNAcentral
UCCGUAGGUGAACCUGCGGAGGGAUCAUUACCGAGCGAGGGCCCCCGGGCCCGACCUCCCACCCCUUUGUGAUUUGACCUCUGUUGCCUCGGGGGCGACCCGGCCGGUUCUUCGGCCAGGGCCCUCGGUGGACCAUUGAACACUGCAUCUGUGCGUCUGAGUCAGAUAUAAAUCAAUCAAAACUUUCAACAACGGAUCUCUUGGUUCUGGCAUCGAUGAAGAACGCAGCGAAAUGCGAUAAGUAAUGUGAAUUGCAGAAUUCAGUGAAUCAUCGAAUCUUUGAACGCACAUUGCGCCCGCUGGUAUUCCGGCGGGCAUGCCUGUUCGAGCGUCAUUACACCACUCCAGCCUGGCUGGGUAUUGGGCGUCCGCGGUCCGCCGCGCGCCUCAAAGUCUCCGGCCGAGCCGACCGUCCCUCAGCGUUGUGAUUUACUCGAUCGCUGUGGGGUGCGGGCGCGCCCGACGCCGUUAAACGUCUUCUCCAGGUUGACCUCGGAUCAGGUAGGGAUACCCGCUGAACUUAAGCAUAUCAAUAAGCGGAGGA